RNAcentral lists this long non-coding RNA (2753 nucleotides) under Capsicum annuum. RNAcentral's name for it is "long non-coding RNA (CANN_LNC006234)". Lineage: Eukaryota; Viridiplantae; Streptophyta; Magnoliopsida; Solanales; Solanaceae. The record is from RNAcentral.
UUUGAAAUAACAAUAACAAGUGUUGUAGCGAGCUCAGGGCCAAGUUGAGCAAUUUGAUGAUCAAUGCCUGCUGGAUCUGUGUUGUCGAUGAAUCUUAUCUGCCAAGAGAUGAUAAAGCAUGGUGUAGACAGAGAAAGAGAUGUCAGAGAAACAGAUAAAAAGGUAAGCAAGAGUUAUAGGUAUACCAUAAGGAAACGCACCGUGUAGAUUUAUUAUGAACGAUCUAAUAGACAAUUAUAUUUUAAAUCCUUCAUCAUUAAGUUUUCUGCACAAGUUCUUUUGCAUCGUUUGACUUUAUCUACACUCUUAAUGAGAGGAAAAACAGUUCAAUGGAGAAAUUUGUUAGUGCUUGACACAUCAAAUAAGAGAAACAAUAUCAUCAUGAUCACUACAGAGGCAAAAAUAAAGGAUAGGAUUAAGUCAAGUCACUUGCAUUGGCUUUGACGUUGUGCAGCCCACCGGCGCCAGUUUUUUUUUUUUUUUUUUGAUAACCGUGGUGUCGGGGCCAGCUUGCGCGCACCUCGACUAAAUCCAUGGGAUACCUGUCACCUCCCACCAGUAACAGGUACCGGAUAACUCUGUCCACCAAGGCUAGAACAGAUGGGAAGAAAACACCUAGUGUUUGUCUUUGCUGGGAAUUGAACCUGAGACCUCAUGGUGCUCAUCCCAACUUCAUUGAACCACUAGGCCACACCCUUGGGUGCCCACCGGCACCAGUUUUAGCAAGAUCAAAAUAUUUUACAACAUUGAUAAUGAUGCUAGGUAAAGUGCAUAGAAAGUUUUAAGCCAAAAAAUCUAAUUUGAGCUAAGGUGCAGUUUAGAUGGUGAAGUACUGGAAGUUCUAUGAUAUAGGUACUCGUAACAUUUUGAGAAAAUGUUUGAAACAGGAAACUGACUGAAGAGAUUAUUCCACUUUUAUUCUCAAAGGAUUUGAAGGAGAGGAAAACUUGGCAAAAUACCUUAAUAUGUUACUGAGAAAAGAGUAAGUCCAGUUAACCCACAAAUUUCAAAACAGAACAAUCACAGAUCUUUGAAAACAACUGCCAAUUACCUUCAGAGGGGGAUUGUCAGGAGCCAGUGCCUCAGCCACAAAUUGUGGUCCAAGUGCUGAACCACCAAUUCCAACAGAAAGAAUUUGUGUAAAACGGCUACCAGAAGGAGUCUUGAUCUGCAAAGUAGAUGUUGUAAUUCACAAUAAGUUGACCAAGCUUUGGGUUUCAACAGCCAGUAAGUAACCAAUCAGAAGUGCCAAAAUAUGCUUUCAAAUGUUGAGGCUUAAAGGAGAAACAGAUAAUAAGCCAGAAAACUGUACUUUAGAAGUUAGGAACAUACAUCACAACUAAAAAGUCAAAAGUUCCUUAUAAUCUUAUUAUACUACAUCCUCCUUUUCAAUUUGACACGAAGUUUAAGAAGAUAAAGGAGGCUUUUGAAUUUUGUGGCCUUAAACUAAAGAUAUGUCGAAUGUACCAAAAUGUCCUUUAAUCUUGUGGUCUUAAACAUGGCAGUGGAAAGUUUGAAACUGAAUAGUUGCCAAAAAAGGAUAAUGACGUUCUAUUUGAAACAGACUAAAAAGAAGUAAGACUAACAAAUUGAAACGGAGGGAGUAUUUCCAAUCCCAAACAAUCACUGAAAUUACAUUACUCAUAUCAUAUAAAUUUUUGACAAUAUUGAUUUGAAAUGCCACUUGAUUGAUCAAAAACAAGUAUAGAUCAUCACAUUGGAAAAAAAGUUAAAGACUUUUACAGCUUAAGAUCAUUUGAGCGGAACAAAAGGCAAUCCAGAUCAAUCAAACUACACCUCAAUUGCAAAUCGGCUUACGAGUCCUCUACAUAAGUUGCCUUUCAACAGUCAAAAGAUCCUUAAAAGCUUAUUAUGCUAUAUCAGUAUAUCCAUUCCCCAACAAUCGCUAAAACUACAUUACUCAUACCAUACAAUUUUUUCACUACAUUGAUUUGAAACGCCACUUGAUUGAUCAAAAACAAAUAGAGAUCAUCAAAUUGGGAAAAAUUUCAGAUCUCUACAGAUUGAGAGUAUUCAAUCAGAACAAAAGGCAAUCAAGAUCAAUCAACUACACCUCAAAUUGCAAAAUCAGCUUUAAAACUCCUCUAAUAUAAGUUGUCUUUCAACACAAAUUAGGGACUCUUAAUGCAGAACAAAAGGCAACAACAACAUACACAAUGUAGUCCCACAGAGUGGAAGCUAGGGAGGAUAGAGUGCACGCAGACCUUACACCUACUCCAAGCUAGAGACACUAUUUCCGGUACACCCUCGACUCAACAAAAACAGUCCAAAAGACAAAAGGCAAAUAAAAGACUUGACUUUCAGCUGAAAAUCUAAUAUAUAAGUUGUCUUUCAACAAUAAAUCAGGGAAUCUUAAUGCAUUAAAAAAUUUCUCAGUUAUCAAAAAAGAUAUCUAUUUUUGCUGAGGGAAAAAAACAGAAACUAGACACAUAACCACCUUUGAAAUAACAAUAACAAGUGUUGUAGCGAGCUCAGGGCCAAGUUGAGCAAUUUGAUGAUCAAUGCCUGCUGGAUCUGUGUUGUCGAUGAAUCUUAUCUGCCAAGAGAUGAUAAAGCAUGGUGUAGACAGAGAAAGAGAUGUCAGAGAAACAGAUAAAAAGGUAAGCAAGAGUUAUAGGUAUACCAUAAGGAAACGCACCGUGUAGAUUUAUUAUGAACGAUCUAAUAGACAAUUAUAUUUUAAAUCCUUCAUCAUUAAGUUUUCUGCACAAGUUCUUUUGCAUCGUUUGACU